Vigna unguiculata (cowpea) is the source of this 4754-nucleotide RNA transcript. RefSeq lists it as uncharacterized. Lineage: Eukaryota; Viridiplantae; Streptophyta; Magnoliopsida; Fabales; Fabaceae. The record is from RefSeq and is a predicted model, not a curated record.
ACGACGUGUUUGGUCUGUGCAAGGCGUUAUCGUCUUGCUUGGGGUUUGGGGGUUUAUCUGCAAUCUCAGUUAAACAGAUUUCACUGAAAUUGAGGUUUCAUUUCUCACUUUCCAUACACAGUUCAGCAAAAAAGCUUCAUUGAACUAAACCAUGACCUCGUCACUUAUUUCUUUGUAACCUUGUUUUUCAUCCAUGGACAUUCUCAAAAUUUCAAACCCUGCCAACUUUUCAAUCCCUUAUUUCUGCCACCCCAAAACCCUAAAGCCCAAAUUCCCACCAAACUAUAACAAACCCGCAUCCCCAUUUCGCAGAACCCCAUUCUCACUCUACCUGUCACGCUCUACGGCCGUAAAAUUUCAAACUUGGGCGCAUUCCGGCCGCCCCACCAAGCGCCGCAACUCCCUGAGGAAGAAGCUCCUCCGUGAUCACAAGGUAAUCCCUAAUCAGAUUCCCAACGACCCUCUUUCUGUUUCUGGUAAUGACGUUGAAGAGAGUGGUGGAGGGGUUCAGGGGGAUUCCGUUGUUGACAGUGUGGUUGAAGCUGAAAAAUCAAAGUCCAAGCUUUUGGGUGAAUCUGUUUUGUGGGAUAAGUUGGAGAGUUGGGUUGACCAGUACAAGAGAGAUAUUGAGUAUUGGGGGGUAGGGUCUGGUCCUGUGUUCACUGUUUAUGAAGAUUCCCUUGGAGGUGUCAAGAGGGUGUUUGUUGAUGAAGAAGAGAUUUUGAAAAGAAGCAAGGUUAGGAGGGAUGUAAUUGGGGACUUCCCUGAAGUAAGAAGUAAAAUUUUGAAUGCUAAGAACAUGGCAAGGGAGAUGGAGAGUGGGAACAAUGUGAUUGCAAGGAAUAGUUCUGUGGCUAAGUUUGUGGUUCAUGGUAAGGAGGGGGGUGGUUUUGUUAAGGCUGUCCAAGGUUUUGUUGCGAAGCCUCAAUUGCUUCCUAGGCUUUCCAGGGUUGGGAGGUUUGUGUUAUAUGUGUUGGUUGUUAUGUGGGUGGUGAAGAAGUUAUUUGCUUUUGGAGAAGGAGAUAAGGAGGUGGAGUAUACAGCACUGGAGAAGGAAAUGAUGAGGAGGAAGGUGAAGGCGAGAAAGGAGAAAGAAAAGUUGAUGAAGGGUGCUGUUGAAGUUAUUGUUGAACCUUCGGAGACACCGGUGGUGGACAUAAAAAGGCCUAAGUUAGAUAAGGAACAACUAAGGAAUAAUAUUUUGAAAGCUAAGGGAUCUUCUGAUAAACUGGUAGUAGGUGAUUCGUCUGAUAAAAUAAAAAAAACUAUAUCCAUGGAGAUGGAUUAUAAAGUUCAAGAAAUAAAAGAAAUGGCUAGGCAGGCACGGAAAAUUGAGGGAAGAGACAAUGUUGUAGUUAACAAGGAUUUGGAAAUGGACGACUCGGUGAUUGGGAAAUCAUCUGAUGAUAAUGAAUUCAUAAAAAGGAAGAGCGAACAAGAUGACAACUUAAGUGAUAAUCAAAUUGAAGUUAUGAGGGAAACGGCAGAUAGUAAUGCCAUUCUGCAAUCAACUUCUAUUGAUGUCCCAGAGAACAUUGAUAAUUCAGUCCUGCAUGAGGUAGUUCCUGCAGAUGAAGAUAGUGUACAUGCUUCGGAUGUCAUAGUUUCUGGUGAUAAGGAAACCAAGAAACAAGAAAUAGAAUUUUCUGAAAAUAAUGUGCACCUGAAGGAUAAAGAAAAUGACAAUCCCUUAGGUACUCGUAUUAAUGGCUCAUCUAUGACAAAUGAAAAUUCUGUGAAGAAGAAACGCAGGAUCAUACGGUCUGUUAAGGAAGCCAGGGAUUAUCUUUCGUCAAAACAUGACAAACAGAAUCCCAGUGCUGGCGCCGUAUCUAAACUAGAUUCCGUGAAAGAAACUAUUACUGAUUUGAAGUCUUCAAGUGUUAUUGAUUUUAAGGACCAGAAAAGCCAGAACUUGAAGAUGAACACAACUGGAUCAAGAAGUGACACAUCGAAUGGAACAUUGAAUUCUAAGCCUGUUAUAAAUGAUCAUGGAACAUUGGAUUCUAAGUCUUCAAGUGUCAUUGAUUUUACGGAUCAGAAGAGCCAGAACUUGAAGAUGAACACAACUGGAUCAAGAAGUGACACAUUGAAUGGAACAUUGGAUUCUAAGCCUGUAAUAAAUGAUCAUGGAAGAUUGGAUUCUAAGUCUUCAAGCGUUAAUGAUUUUACGGACCAGAAGAGCCAGAACUUGAAGAGGAACACAACUGAAUCAAGAUGUGACACAUUGAAUGGAAGAUUGGAUUCUAAGCCUGUAAUAAAUGAUCAUGAGGAUUCUGCUCUGAACGAUAAGGAAAUCCCCAUAAAGAAUGACUACAAAGAUUCUGGGGUUGAACCUGGCGCAGGAAACCAUCAAAAGUCUGUGACCACUUUUGAAAGUGGAGUUAAUGGCACUAGUACAACAAAUGGGAAACCAGAAAACUGGCCAGAGAAAAGCCUUCUCGAAGUUGAGCAAAUCAUUAGUGAUGGUUUAAAUGGAUUAUCAGAUUCUAAGCCUUCCACAAAACCUAUUGAAGAUUCUAAUCCAAAGAAUAAGGAAUUUAGCCCAAUGAAGGAUGACACCACUUUAGACCAUAAAACCAACAGCAUCAGUACAGAGACAAGGCUACCUUUAAUGCCAGAGAAUGGUACUUUAAAUGGAUUAUCAGAUUCUAAGCCUGCCACAAAUCCUAUUGAAGUUUCUGAUCAGAAGAAUAAGGAAUUAGGCACAACAGAGGAUGACUACCUCAAAGUUUCUGGUGUUGAACCUGAAAUAAGAAACCAUCUUAAUUCAGGUACCACUUUAGAUGAUGAAGUUAAUGACAUUAGUACAGAGACAAAGGUGUCUGAAAAGACUGAAAACUGGCUUGAGAAAAACUUCCAUGAAGUUGAGCCCAUAGUGAAGCAAAUUAGAGCAGGAUUUAGAAAUAACUACAUGGCUGCAAAAGAGGGAGUCGAUCAACCUCUAGAUAUACCCACUGAGAUGGAAUCACUUAGAGGUGUUGGAGAUGGUGGAGAACUUGACUGGAUGCAAGAUGAUCAUCUUAGAGAUAUAGUCUUUCGAGUCCGCGAGAAUGAGCUGUCUGGAAGGGAUCCAUUUUAUUUGAUGAGUGAUGAAGAUAAGGACACAUUUUUCAGAGGUCUUGAAAAAAAAGUGGAGAAAGAAAAUAUGAAACUUUCUCACGUACAUGAAUGGCUCCAUUCAAAUAUUGAAAAUCUUGAUUACGGAGCAGGUGGCAUUAGCAUAUAUGACCCACCGGAGAAAAUCAUACCACGCUGGAAAGGGCCUGCUGUAGAGAAAAUUCCCGAGUUUCUUAAUGAAUUCCUUGAUGAAAGAAAGACAGGUUCCACCAGAAACAUGAAUUCAGUGAAGAAGGAUGAGGGUGGCUUUGCUAUAACAUCUUCGGAUUCCUCUUCAGAAGACAAGUUUGAUGGCCCUGCAGCGCCGACCAAGAAGUUGAAAAAUCCAAAGACUAUUAUUGAGGGAAGUGAUGGUUCUGUUAAAGCUGGCAAAAAAUCAGGGAAGGAAUAUUGGCAGCACACGAAGAAAUGGUCCCAAGGAUUUAUAGACUCUUACAAUGAUGAGACAGAUCCAGAUGUAAAGUCCAUAAUGAAGGAUAUGGGGAAGGAUUUGGAUCGCUGGAUCACUGAAAAAGAAAUAAAGGAAGCAGCUGAACUAAUGGACAAACUCCCCGAUAGGAAUAAGAGUUUCAUGGAAAAGAAACUCAACAAGGUUAAAAGAGAGAUGGAGUUGUUUGGCCCGCAAGCAGUGGUUAGCAAAUAUCGUGAAUAUGCAGACGAUGACGAGGAAGAUUACUUAUGGUGGUUAGAUCUUCCACACAUAUUGUGUAUCGAAUUGUACACAGUUGAGGAGGGAGAGCAGAAAGUAGGACUGUAUUCGUUGGAGAUGGCAGGAGAUCUUGAAUUAGAACCUAAGCCACAUCAUGUGAUUGCUUUCCAAGAUCCUAAUGACUGCAAAAACCUUUGUUACAUAAUUCAGGCUCACAUGGAAAUGCUGGGAAAUGGUCAUGCCUUCGUUGUUGCACGACCUCCUAAGGAUGCUUUUCGAGAGGCUAAAGCAAAUGGGUUUGGUGUUACCGUCAUCAAGAAAGGUGAACUUCAGCUCAAUAUAGACCAACCACUCGAAGAAGUGGAUGAACUGAUUACAGAGAUUGGCAGCAAAAUGUAUCAUGAUAUGAUGAUGAAAGAGCGGUCUGUGGACAUUAACACAUUAAUGAAAGGAGUUUUUGGUUUUAAUGAUCGCUCCAUCAAGAGGUUAAAGAAGAAGUUGAAGAAAUCCAGAAAGGGGUGAUGGCUCUGAAACUUUCAGCAAUUUGACCAGUUGAAGACAGUGAAGAGUCCUCCACCUAAACAUUGAACACGAACACAGAAAAACCUUUCACACAAUAAGGGAUUUUUCUUGCUUCGAGAACAAUACUUUUGACCAGAUUUUCCUUCUCACGAGGGGAUGGAGAGAACACAUCAUCAGUAAGAUGUGGUGGUGGCUGCGGAUCCUUUUUAAAAGCAGAAAUGCUGAUUAACGUGAAAUGAUUUCGUCAAAGUUGAAUAACUCUGUCAACUUUGCCAACUAUGUUUUCUGUCAAAAGCCUAUUUAUAUUUUUCUAAUUGUAAUUAAUAUUUUAUUUUUAAAAUGGCAUUGAUGCUCGUGUCUCUUCUCAUUUGGUGCAGUUUUGUAUUUCUGAUUUGAAAGCUAGACUGAAUGUAGUUUGUGCAUACAGCUUUAAGUCCUAAUUAAUUAAAAUUAAAUGAAAAAA